GUUAGGAAUAUUGGACAAUGGGCGCAAGCCUGACGCAGCCAUGCCGCGUGAAUGAUGAAGGUCUUAGGAUUGUAAAAUUCUUUCACCGGGGACGAUAAUGACGGUACCCGGAGAAGAAGCCCCGGCUAACUUCGUGCCAGCAGCCGCGGUAAUACGAAGGGGGCGAGCGUUAUUCGGAAUCACUGGGCGUAAAGCGUGCGUAGGCGGUUUUGUAAGUUAGGAGUGAAAGCCCAGGGCUCAACCUUGGAAUUGCUCUUAAAACUGCAAGGCUCGAAUCUCGGAGAGGAUAGCGGAAUUUCCAGUGUAGCAGUGAAAUGCGUAGAUAUUGGAAGGAACACCAGUGGCGUAAGCGGCUAUCUGGACGAGUAUUGACGCUGAGGCACGAAAGCGUGGGGAUCAAACAGGAUUAGAUACCCGGGUAGUCC
This 425-nucleotide ribosomal RNA is filed under the name uncultured bacterium. RNAcentral describes it as "bacterial SSU rRNA". It matches the Rfam family "Bacterial small subunit ribosomal RNA", at positions 354 to 796 of the family's 1533-position model. The record is from RNAcentral.